GUGAGUCAUCGAAUCUUUGAACGCACAUUGCACCUUCUAGUAUUCUGGGAGGUAUACCUGUCCGAGCGUCAUUACAACUGUCAAGCAUGGCUUGGUAUUGGGUGUCACCUCCCUGGUGUGCCCCAAAAGAAGUGGUGAGACCAUUGGCUUCGAGCACAGUAGUUUUCUUGCUCCUGGGGCUUUAUGGCGCUCACCAAAACUACUCUCAAGGUUUGACCUCGGAUCAGGUAGGGAUACCCGCUGAACUUAAGCAUAUCAAUAAGCGGAGGA
RNAcentral lists this unclassified non-coding RNA (270 nucleotides) under Leotiomycetes sp. RNAcentral describes it as "partial contains 5.8S ribosomal RNA, internal transcribed spacer 2, and large subunit ribosomal RNA". The stretch from base 1 to 71 matches the Rfam family "5.8S ribosomal RNA", at positions 84 to 154 of the family's 154-position model. Lineage: Eukaryota; Fungi; Ascomycota; Leotiomycetes. The record is from RNAcentral.